CGUUAACGGCGUCGAGCGGCGGACGGGUGAGUAAUGCCUGGGAAAUUGCCCUGAUGUGGGGGAUAACCAUUGGAAACGAUGGCUAAUACCGCAUAAUAGCUUCGGCUCAAAGAGGGGGACCUUCGGGCCUCUCGCGUCAGGAUAUGCCCAGGUGGGAUUAGCUAGUUGGUGAGGUAAUGGCUCACCAAGGCGACGAUCCCUAGCUGGUCUGAGAGGAUGAUCAGCCACACUGGAACUGAGACACGGUCCAGACUCCUACGGGAGGCAGCAGUGGGGAAUAUUGCACAAUGGGCGCAAGCCUGAUGCAGCCAUGCCGCGUGUGUGAAGAAGGCCUUCGGGUUGUAAAGCACUUUCAGCAGUGAGGAAGGCGGGUACGUUAAUAGCGUGCUCGUUUGACGUUAGCUGCAGAAGAAGCACCGGCUAACUCCGUGCCAGCAGCCGCGGUAAUACGGAGGGUGCGAGUGUUAAUCGGAAUUACUGGGCGUAAAGCGCAUGCAGGUGGUUAGUUAAGUCAGAUGUGAAAGCCCGGGGCUCAACCUCGGAACUGCAUUUGAAACUGGCUGACUAGAGUACUGUAGAGGGGGGUAGAAUUUCAGGUGUAGCGGUGAAAUGCGUAGAGAUCUGAAGGAAUACCGGUGGCGAAGGCGGCCCCCUGGACAGAUACUGACACUCAGAUGCGAAAGCGUGGGGAGCAAACAGG
Molecule: ribosomal RNA, 700 nt
Filed under: uncultured bacterium
Lineage: Bacteria
Description: bacterial SSU rRNA
Rfam family: Bacterial small subunit ribosomal RNA
Source: RNAcentral